Molecule: ribosomal RNA, 408 nt
Filed under: uncultured bacterium
Lineage: Bacteria
Description: partial 16S ribosomal RNA
Rfam family: Bacterial small subunit ribosomal RNA
Source: RNAcentral
AUUGAACGCUGGCGGCGUGCCUAAUACCUGCAAGUCGCACGGAGUGGCGAACGGGGGCGUAAUGUAUAGCUAAGCUGCCCUACACUAGAGGACAACAGUUGGAAACGACUGCUAAUAAUCUAUAGUGUAGGAUGAGGCUAUAUUGUAUCAGCUAGUUGGUGAGGUAAUUGCUUCCCAAGGCUAUGACGCAUAACUGGUCUGAGAGGAUGAUCAGUGACAAGGGAACUGAGCCACCGUCCAGACUCCUACGGGAGGCAGCAGUAGGGUAGAUUGCUAAAUGGGGGAAACCCUGAAGCAGCAACGCCGCGUGGAGGAUGACACUUUUCGGAGCGUAAACGCCUUUUGUUAGGGAAGCGGUACCUAACGAAUAAGCACCGGCUAACGCCGUGCCAGCAGCCGCGGUAAUUC